GGGAAUUGGAGUAAUUUAAUCUACACCUAUAAACGCCAGGGAAUUACGAGCCAAGCUUAAAACCCAAAGGACUUGACGGUGUCCCAACCAACUAGAGGAGCCUGUCCUAUAAUCGAUGAUCCACGUUUCACCUGACCCCCCCUUGCCUUUCAGCCUGUAUACCUCCGUCGUAAAUCCGCCAUAUGAAUGUUUUCAGCGGAUCCAAUGACCUCCCCGUAAAUACGUCAGGUCAAGGUGCAGCCCAUGGAGGGAGGAAGUGAUGGGCUACAAUUUCUAGUCUAGAACAAACGAAAUACUGCAUGAAACACAUUAUGAAGGAGGAUUUAGUAGUAAAAAGAAAAUAGCAUAUUCUUUUUAACAUGGCUCUGGGACGUGUACACACCGCCCGUCACCCUCAAUGGGGGCGCCGCCCGUUACCAUCUGUGGACGCCCCCCUCGAUCCUAUUUAUUGCACCAGAAAGCUGGAGA
RNAcentral lists this ribosomal RNA (468 nucleotides) under Phrynoderma hexadactylum (Indian five-fingered frog). RNAcentral's name for it is "partial 12S ribosomal RNA". It matches the Rfam family "Bacterial small subunit ribosomal RNA", at positions 875 to 1460 of the family's 1533-position model. Lineage: Eukaryota; Metazoa; Chordata; Amphibia; Anura; Dicroglossidae. The record is from RNAcentral.